GGCUCGGUAGCUCAGUUGGUAGAGCAAUGGAUUGAAGCUCCAUGUGUCGGCGGUUCGAUUCCCGUCGGGACCG
RNAcentral lists this transfer RNA (73 nucleotides) under Streptococcus pneumoniae. RNAcentral describes it as "tRNA-Phe(gaa)". It matches the Rfam family "tRNA". From Rfam's summary of the family: Transfer RNA (tRNA) molecules are approximately 80 nucleotides in length. Their secondary structure includes four short double-helical elements and three loops (D, anti-codon, and T loops). Further hydrogen bonds mediate the characteristic L-shaped molecular structure. tRNAs have two regions of fundamental functional importance: the anti-codon, which is responsible for specific mRNA codon recognition, and the 3' end, to which the tRNAs corresponding amino acid is attached (by aminoacyl-tRNA synthetases). tRNAs cope with the degeneracy of the genetic code in two manners: having more than one tRNA (with a specific anti-codon) for a particular amino acid; and 'wobble' base-pairing, i.e. permitting non-standard base-pairing at the 3rd anti-codon position. The record is from RNAcentral. Lineage: Bacteria; Bacillati; Bacillota; Bacilli; Lactobacillales; Streptococcaceae.